Molecule: ribosomal RNA, 468 nt
Filed under: uncultured bacterium
Lineage: Bacteria
Description: partial 16S ribosomal RNA
Rfam family: Bacterial small subunit ribosomal RNA
Source: RNAcentral
GACGAACGCUGGCGGCGUGCUUAACAUAUGCAAGUCGAACGGAAAGGCCCUGCUUUUGUGGGGUGCUCGAGUGGCGAACGGGUGAGUAACACGUGAGUAACCUGCCCUUGACUUUGGGAUAACUUCAGGAAACUGGGGCUAAUACCGGAUAGGAGCUCCUGCUGCAUGGUGGGGGUUGGAAAGUUUCGGCGGUUGGGGAUGGACUCGCGGCUUAUCAGCUUGUUGGUGGGGUAGUGGCUUACCAAGGCUUUGACGGGUAGCCGGCCUGAGAGGGUGACCGGCCACAUUGGGACUGAGAUACGACCCAGACUCCUACGGGAGGCAGCAGUGGGGAAUAUUGCACAAUGGGCGGAAGCCUGAUGCAGCAACGCCGCGUGCGGGAUGACGGCCUUCGGGUUGUAAACCGCUUUCGCCUGUGACGAAGCGUGAGUGACGGUAAUGGGUAAAGAAGCACCGGCUAACUACGUG